This 368-nucleotide ribosomal RNA is filed under the name uncultured organism. Its description in RNAcentral is "bacterial SSU rRNA". It matches the Rfam family "Bacterial small subunit ribosomal RNA", at positions 526 to 896 of the family's 1533-position model. The record is from RNAcentral.
CGGAGGGUGCAAGCGUUAUCCGGAUUCACUGGGUUUAAAGGGUGCGUAGGUGGGUUGGUAAGUCAGUGGUGAAAUCCCCGAGCUUAACUUGGGAACUGCCAUUGAUACUAUCAGUCUUGAAUAUCGUGGAGGUUAGCGGAAUAUGUCAUGUAGCGGUGAAAUGCUUAGAUAUGACAUAGAACACCAAUUGCGAAGGCAGCUGGCUACACGAAUAUUGACACUGAGGCACGAAAGCGUGGGGAUCAAACAGGAUUAGAUACCCUGGUAGUCCACGCCCUAAACUAUGGAUACUCGACAUCAGCGAUACACUGUUGGUGUCUGAGCGAAAGCAUUAAGUAUCCCACCUGGGAAGUACGAUCGCAAGAUUG